Non-coding RNA from Hydra vulgaris (swiftwater hydra), 2713 nucleotides. The record is from RefSeq and is a predicted model, not a curated record. Lineage: Eukaryota; Metazoa; Cnidaria; Hydrozoa; Anthoathecata; Hydridae.
UUGUACCUACCCUUUCAUUAUGAUUAAAAAUUAGAAUUUCUUAUGAAUCUUAAAUUAUGUAAUAAAUAGUUUAGAAGAGAUAAAAGAAAUUUGUUUUUAGUAUUAUUUUGUGGUUAAUGAAGCGGCUAAAAAGUCCUGUAAGUUUUUCGAUAAUAAUGUAUAAGCGAUUAAAAGUAGUUUUACAGUACAGUAACAAUGUAUUUUGAUAAUUCUUUGUUUAGUUAUUGCUACUAAAAUAGCAGUUUCAAAAAAUUAGCAGUAAUUUCAAAAAGUAUCAAUUUCAGCAUUUUUUUUAAAUAUUUCUUAAAUUGUUUUUUCUGUUUGGUUUUUAACAACGCUAUAGAACGUCUAUAGUUAACUCUUAGCUUCCUAAUUUUUCUGCUUUUACUAAAAGUAGAAAAAUUAUGAAAAAUAGUUACCACUUAAAAUGCAUAAAUUUUCUCUAAAAGUUUUAGAGAAAAAUUAUGCAUUUUAAUUGGUAACUACUUUUUAAAUAACUAAAUAAAAUUAUUAUUGUUUGUUUAUAUUAAGACAUAACAUCUAUUUGUUUAUGACUGAUGUUAUAUUGAUCGAAUAGCAAUGUUUUAAUAUUUACACUUUUAGUGCAGUCAGUGCCAAUCAAAAAUUAUGAGGUUCAGUUUUAGUGUAGGCUUUUAGUGUAAACUAAAAAAUAUUUUUAAACGUUUAAGAGUAAUCCUUCAGUUAGGUGACCUAAAAUAGUUAUAUUUUUGCCAGGGGUUUUUGCUACAUCGAUAUAAUAAAAAUAAAAAUAAAAUUGCUUUCCCAUGCCAAACCCUUAGUUCAUGUAGCAGUACUUCCUUUUAGCAGCAGGCUAUAAGAUAGUCGAUGUAGCAGCACACCGUUGCGAGUCAGGCUUUAAGAUAGUCGAUGUAGCAAAACCCCCUGACAAAAAUAUAAUUAUUUUGGGCUGCGUAACUGUAGCUUUACCAGUUUAAGUAUUAUUCAUACUCUUAUAUGAUAACCACUAAAGAGAAAAUAAAUUUACUUAACUCUGAUAUGAUAGAUUAUUAUAUUGAAUCAUUUAUUUUCUCUUUAGUAGAAAAGUUAACAUGGUUCGAACAAUAAUAAAGUUAUAUUACAUAGUUAUAUUAUAUUUCUAAAAUCUGCGCAAAUAUUUUUUUUAUAAUUUAUUAAGUUUUGCGUGUUUAAUUUCAUUUAAUAUUUUAUAUACAGUCCAGUCAGUUGCAACAACAAUUAAAGCAACAAGAAACAGCCAAGUACACAUGCAAGUGGUAAAUUGAUUUUUUGUGACAUUUUUACUCCUUUAAAAUUUAGAUUUUCCUAAAAUAAUAAUUAAGUUAAUGGCUAUUUCUGUAAAGAUCAUUCUGUAAAUAAAAGCUGCAAUGUUUUUAAAAUUUAAAGAUAUUUUUUUAGUAAUCACAAGAUAAACUGCAAACUCUGUAUUUUUAAAUAUGAUUCUAAAAUCUGAACAUCUGUCUGAUAUUUACCUUUUAAAUCAUAAUCUAAUUGCUCAGGCUUAUAAAAAGCUAUUUAUAAAAAUUUAUAUUUGAAAGGUACAUUGAUGAUUGGUUUGAGUCUUUAAAGUUUAAAUUAGUUAAAAGAGAGUUCAAAUUGUUCUGUUUUUAUCUUAUACUCUUUAUCUAAAAGCUAUUGAAAUAUUUAUUGCAUUAUUUUUCAUUUAUUUUAUUAUGUUAUGAAAGACCUACCAAGCUUGAAAUUUUACGGGUCGAAAUAUAUAUUACGCAUAUGUAUAUCAUCCCUCGGAAUUAGGAAAACUAAAGUCAACAAAAAAAGCUAAAAAACUAGAAGAUUAAACUUAUUUAAAACACUUUUAACAAGUUUAGUUACAAGUUAAUGUUAUGUGUUGAUGUACCUUCAACCAAAUUAGUGUUAACAUUUUAGCAAAAUGUCAUAUCGUCAGGCUGUUUGAUUGGAAGAACCGAAAGCUUGAUAUUUUAUUGAAUUGUUAUUUUAGUUUGUGAUAUAAUAAUUUUUAUUCAAAAAAUGUUAAACUAUUUACUUUUUAAAUUAAUUUGUCAUUGCUUUGGAUAUGAUGUUUUGUUAUUCCUUUUACAGAUUGUUAUGAGGAUUGCAAAAGUUUUAAAUAUCAGAAACUGAAGAAGGCAAUCACUACUUCCACAGCCACCUUGUCUCAAGCAUUCAAUUGCAUUUUAAGAUCUUUAUUAUCUUUAUUCAAAUCAAGUGUGAAACCAAAAGACUGUAAAAUGGACCAAUCAACUAACCCAUCAGUACUUGUAAAGUCUCCUUUUCUGUUAGCUCGAAAAUUGAGUUUUAAAAUACCAUUAUUCACAUAACUACUAUAUCAAAGCACAAACUAAUGGAUUGAUCAAGUAAUAUUUAUUGAUCAAUGAAACUGUCGGUAUCUCUACAACUUUUCAAUUAAAUAGAAAGUUUCAAUCCAACAGGAUACUGAGUGUGCCUACUGCUCCUCAAGACAAUGGAAAAAAGAUUGUAUGACUUCGGUAUCCGCAAUAUGAUAUCGUGCAUUGGUUCUUAUCUUAGAAUGACCCCCUUCCGUUUAGGUGGAAAUAGAAAAGGUUACGUCCUUUUUUCUAAUUCUUAAGACGAAGAGGCUUAAUCAGUUCAAGCAAAGAUGACAAUGAUCAUUAUGGAGCCAAUCAUGAUGACGAAUACGAUAAUGCAUAUAAUAAUAAAUAAAAUGAUUUUACUUGUAUUUUAGAUUUAUAUAAAUAAAAAAUUAUCUGUUUAA